Molecule: long non-coding RNA, 1380 nt
Filed under: Canis lupus familiaris (dog)
Lineage: Eukaryota; Metazoa; Chordata; Mammalia; Carnivora; Canidae
Description: lncRNA (ENSCAFG00845017914.1)
Source: RNAcentral
GGAAAUUCUAGGUAUUGAGAAUUCUGCGCCCUUCUCCGGCGCCCUGCGGCUCCCUGCCUUCGGCCUCGGUGUGCCGCGUAAGAGAUUAUUAAUCAGAAGCGUUCUUUUUGUGUGUGUGUCUCAAAAGGAGGAGGUUUGGCUUAUGAAUGCUGAGAGGGAUAUUUACACUGGUGCAUCCAGUAGGUAGCUGGAGUUUUUAUUGUGAUUCUGAUCGUUUUACACAGGGAAAUCAGUGUUCUGCUUUGGAGGUAGGGAGGCGGACCGCAUUGCAAACGCUAAAUUCAGAACUUCCAGUUGUUGAGUUGGUGUGCAAAAUGGAACUGGCGAUGUAUUUAAACUAACGUUUAAAAGCCAUCUCUUCAUUUAAAUGUGGGGACAUUUUGCAGUAAAAACAAAAAAAAAAUUAAAACCCCACACUUGAUCUAUAUUUUUCUCGUAAACACAAUCGGUUGGCGAAGACGAAGAAAGGUAUCCGUCAAAUAUCAAAGAGAAUGAAAGAAACAUUCCUAAAGUCCCACCUAUUGCGGAGCACAUCCUGACUCUGGGCCUUGGUCUCACUAUCUUGGGUGCCCGCCGAGGCUGGGCAGACGCCUGAGUGUUCAAGGCAAGCCUUACGUUUUUUAGCACGAGGUGGCCAAUAUCCUCUUUAAAUGUCAUGCUUUGCUAUGUCUCUACAAAACUGGCGACUUUGCGUUAAAUCUUGUAUCUGUUACACAAUUCUAAAUAAUUAUUUCUGAUCGAGACAGCAAAUUAAUCAUUCGUUCAUGCGGGAGGGGGGCGAAACACGUGUCUAAUUGGAGGUUGUGAAGUUCAGUGAGGUGAUAUUUUUAGCUUGGAAAGUCCAAAAUCAGAUACUUGGGUAUCUCUCCCCCUCCCGUCUUUUCCCCACUGCCUCCCCAUUUCACCCUUUUGCACCCGACCCUGUGGGCUCCCUGCUCCGCUCUCCCCCUUUCCUCUGUCUCCGUCUUCUUUCCCUUACCGCACCCCCCCCACCGCAGCGCCUUUCCCUUUCCUCUUCCUUCUACCCCCCCCAUUCCGCUCCCCUUCCUCUGUGUGUGUGUGUGUAUCUCUCUCGGCCUCCCCCCCCCCCCCCAUUUAUUGUCUGAUCCUAUCAGUCAAGUUAAUAUAAAAGUAGCAAGUGGGAGGCCCAGAACCUCUCUCCCGCGCGCCCAGGACACUUUGGGGAGGUGUCGGUCGCUGCCCGGUUACCGGCCCGAGUGGGGGCCCCCGAGGCAGGGCGCGCAGCUUUUUGAGGACUUGGGGUCCGCCCGGGGUUGCGGGGCUUAUUCAAAUGCCGCCCGCUGCUGCUGUGAUUCGCAGGGACUCGGCCUCCAUAUGACGCCGAAAGGAGCCUGUUUGUGUGCUGCGGCCGCCCCGUGA